AUUGAACGCUGGCGGCAUGCCUUACACAUGCAAGUCGAACGGCAGCACGGGAGCAAUCCUGGUGGCGAGUGGCGAACGGGUGAGUAAUGUAUCGGAACGUACCUUUCAGUGGGGGAUAACGUAGCGAAAGUUACGCUAAUACCGCAUAUUCUGUGAGCAGGAAAGCAGGGGAUCGCAAGACCUUGCGCUGAUUGAGCGGCCGAUAUCAGAUUAGCUAGUUGGUGAGGUAAAGGCUCACCAAGGCGACGAUCUGUAGCGGGUCUGAGAGGAUGAUCCGCCACACUGGAACUGAGACACGGUCCAGACUCCUACGGGAGGCAGCAGUGGGGAAGUUUUGGACAAUGGGCGCAAGCCUGAUCCAGCCAUGCCGCGUGAGUGAAGAAGGCC
Molecule: ribosomal RNA, 387 nt
Filed under: uncultured bacterium
Lineage: Bacteria
Description: bacterial SSU rRNA
Rfam family: Bacterial small subunit ribosomal RNA
Source: RNAcentral